GGAGAGGUAUCGAAGUGGUCAUAACGAGGCGGUCUUGAAAACCGUUUGCCUUCACGGGCACGUGGGUUCGAAUCCCACCCUCUCCGCCA
RNAcentral lists this transfer RNA (89 nucleotides) under Clostridium sp. RNAcentral describes it as "tRNA-Ser". It matches the Rfam family "tRNA". From Rfam's summary of the family: Transfer RNA (tRNA) molecules are approximately 80 nucleotides in length. The record is from RNAcentral. RNAcentral also lists the same sequence under 2 other names. Lineage: Bacteria; Bacillati; Bacillota; Clostridia; Eubacteriales; Clostridiaceae.